RNAcentral lists this small RNA (231 nucleotides) under Arabidopsis thaliana (thale cress). Its description in RNAcentral is "ATSL177530". The record is from RNAcentral. Lineage: Eukaryota; Viridiplantae; Streptophyta; Magnoliopsida; Brassicales; Brassicaceae.
AAAAAUAAUAAUAACCAUUUAUCUAAUUAUUUAAUAAGGAUAAAAUAGGUAAACAGUUCUAAAAUUUACAUUGGAAAUAUAAAAUUUUUAUAUUUGUGGGACAAAAAUUUGUUCUAAAAAAUUUAUUUUUGUGAGACGGAAGGAAUAUAUGAUAAAAAAAAAAAGGUUUCGUUAUAAUUGGGCAUUUAUGUUGCGCUUUUCCAAAAUUUAGGAUUGGUUUCGAAAACUUUU